This 413-nucleotide ribosomal RNA is filed under the name Acanthamoeba sp. MN-ISP66-T4. Its description in RNAcentral is "SSU rRNA". It matches the Rfam family "Eukaryotic small subunit ribosomal RNA", at positions 754 to 1113 of the family's 1831-position model. Lineage: Eukaryota; Discosea; Longamoebia; Acanthamoebidae. The record is from RNAcentral.
ACCGUGAAAAAAUUAGAGUGUUCAAAGCAGGCAGAUUCAAUUUUCUGCCACCGAAUACAUUAGCAUGGGAUAAUGGAAUAGGACCCUGUCCUCCUUUUUUCAGUUGGUUAAUUCAUGAGAGAGGAACAGGGUAAUGAUUAAUAGGGAUAGUUGGGGGCAUUAAUAUUUAAUUGUCAGAGGUGAAAUUCUUGGAUUUAUGAAAGAUUAACUUCUGCGAAAGCAUCUGCCAAGGAUGUUUUCAUUAAUCAAGAACGAAAGUUAGGGGAUCGAAGACGAUCAGAUACCGUCGUAGUCUUAACCAUAAACGAUGCCGACCAGCGAUUAGGAGACGUUGAAUACAAAACACCUCUAUAUAUAAUUCAGUAUAUGGUCAGUCAAAUGGCUGUGUAUUGUUUGUAUAUAGUUUAAUGCCA